CCAAGGAGUCUAACAUGUGCGCGAGUCAUUGGGUCUUGUUCAGGCCCAGAGGCGCAAUGAAAGUGAAGGACGCCCCAGUCGGUGUCUGCGUUGGGAUCCCGGGGCCUCGCGUCCCGGGCGCACCAACGGCCCGUCCCGUCCGCCACGUCGGUGGGACGGAGCGAGAGCGUACACGUUGGGACCCGAAAGAUGGUGAACUAUGCCUGGGCAGGACGAGGCCAGAGGAAACUCUGGUGGAGGUCCGCAGCGAUUCUGACGUGCAAAUCGAUCGUCAGACCUUGGUAUAGGGGCGAAAGACUAAUCGAACCGUCUAGUAGCUGGUUCCCUCCGAAGUUUCCCUCAGGAUAGCUGGUGCUCGAUCGGAAUCAGUCUCAUCCGGUAAAGCGAAUGAUUAGAGGCCUUGGGGCCGAAACGACCUCAACCUAUUCUCAAACUUUCAAUGGGUGAGAAGUCCGGUUUACCCGACUGAAGCCCGGACGAUUCUCAGGAUGUGAGUGCCCAGUGGGCCACUUUU
RNAcentral lists this ribosomal RNA (514 nucleotides) under Centruroides gracilis. RNAcentral describes it as "eukaryotic LSU rRNA". It matches the Rfam family "Eukaryotic large subunit ribosomal RNA", at positions 666 to 1138 of the family's 3401-position model. Lineage: Eukaryota; Metazoa; Arthropoda; Arachnida; Scorpiones; Buthidae. The record is from RNAcentral.